This 455-nucleotide ribosomal RNA is filed under the name Thermococcus sp. 17S2. RNAcentral's name for it is "bacterial SSU rRNA". It matches the Rfam family "Archaeal small subunit ribosomal RNA", at positions 62 to 514 of the family's 1478-position model. Lineage: Archaea; Methanobacteriati; Methanobacteriota; Thermococci; Thermococcales; Thermococcaceae. The record is from RNAcentral.
GGCGCGCUCUGCGCGCACCGGCGGACGGCUCAGUAACACGUCGGUAACCUACCCUCGGGAGGGGGAUAACCCCGGGAAACUGGGGCUAAUCCCCCAUAGGCCUGGGGUACUGGAAGGUCCCCAGGCCGAAAGGGGCUCUGCCCGCCCGAGGAUGGGCCGGCGGCCGAUUAGGUAGUUGGUGGGGUAACGGCCCACCAAGCCGAAGAUCGGUACGGGCCAUGAGAGUGGGAGCCCGGAGAUGGACACUGAGACACGGGUCCAGGCCCUACGGGGCGCAGCAGGCGCGAAACCUCCGCAAUGCGGGCAACCGCGACGGGGGGACCCCCAGUGCCGUGGCACAGCCACGGCUUUUCCGGAGUGUAAAAAGCUCCGGGAAUAAGGGCUGGGCAAGGCCGGUGGCAGCCGCCGCGGUAAUACCGGCGGCCCAAGUGGUGGCCGCUAUUAUUGGGCCUAAA